Molecule: non-coding RNA, 537 nt
Organism: Tauraco erythrolophus (red-crested turaco)
Lineage: Eukaryota; Metazoa; Chordata; Aves; Musophagiformes; Musophagidae
Source: the annotation of a RefSeq genome assembly
AUGCCGAUGUCAAAAUAUUUGGAACUGGAACUAAGCUUAUUGUUUCAAACUUUAUUCACUGUGACUGGUUAUUACCACAAAGUGUUUGGCUCUGGUACAAAACUCAUUGUGUCAGACAAAGGAAAUUCUGCACCAGAAAACUCUGAAAUCCUGGAGAGGAAAGACAAAAAUCAGACAACGUACGUUUGCCUUAUCGAGAAAUUCUACCCAGAUGUUAUUCGCGUGACAUGGACCGACGGACAAAAAGAGGUAACAGACAACGUAGUAAAAGGAGACCCUUGGAAGUCUACAAAAGAGGAUAAAUACUCCAUCAGCAGCUGGUUAACUGUACCAACAGACAAAGACAAGAACUAUCACUGCAAAUACGAGCAUGAAGGCAAACAGGAUUCGCUGCCGACACAAGAUCACUUAAUGCACAGGACGGCAUAUUUAGUGUACAUCGUCCUUCUUCUCAAGAGCUUCAUGUACUAUCUCAUCGUACUGUUUUUCAUCUACAGAAUGUGGGCUCCGACCAAGCACCAAAGAAAGCAGGCAUAA